Molecule: ribosomal RNA, 450 nt
Filed under: uncultured bacterium
Lineage: Bacteria
Description: partial 16S ribosomal RNA
Rfam family: Bacterial small subunit ribosomal RNA
Source: RNAcentral
GUGGGGAAUCUUCCGCAAUGGACGAAAGUCUGACGGAGCAACGACGCGUGAGUGAAGAAGGUUUUCGGAUCGUAAAGCUCUUUCGUUAGGGACGAACGUGCUCUUUGUGAAUAAUGAGGAGUAAUGACGGUACCUAAAUAAGAAGCCACGGCUAACUACGUGCCAGCAGCCGCGGUAAUACGUAGGUGGCAAGCGUUGUCCGGAAUUAUUGGGCGUAAAGCGCGCGCAGGCGGGAUAUCACGUCUGUCUUAAAAGUGCGAGGCUCAACCUCGUGAGGGGACAGAAACUGGUAUUCUUGAGUGUCGGAGAGGAAAGUGGAAUUCCAAGUGUAGCGGUGAAAUGCGUAGAGAUUUGGAAGAACACCAGUGGCGAAGGCGACUUUCUGGACGAUGUCUGACGCUGAGGCGCGAAAGCUAGGGGAGCGAACGGGAUUAGAAACCCCGGUAGUCC